Lepisosteus oculatus (spotted gar) is the source of this 83-nucleotide transfer RNA. It matches the Rfam family "tRNA". From Rfam's summary of the family: Transfer RNA (tRNA) molecules are approximately 80 nucleotides in length. Their secondary structure includes four short double-helical elements and three loops (D, anti-codon, and T loops). Further hydrogen bonds mediate the characteristic L-shaped molecular structure. tRNAs have two regions of fundamental functional importance: the anti-codon, which is responsible for specific mRNA codon recognition, and the 3' end, to which the tRNAs corresponding amino acid is attached (by aminoacyl-tRNA synthetases). tRNAs cope with the degeneracy of the genetic code in two manners: having more than one tRNA (with a specific anti-codon) for a particular amino acid; and 'wobble' base-pairing, i.e. permitting non-standard base-pairing at the 3rd anti-codon position. Lineage: Eukaryota; Metazoa; Chordata; Actinopteri; Semionotiformes; Lepisosteidae. The record is from Rfam.
GUCUGGAUGGCCAAGUGGUCUAAGGCACUGUGUUCAGGUUGUAGUCUCCCUUGGAGGUGUGGGUUCAAAUCCCACUCCUGACA